RNAcentral lists this ribosomal RNA (213 nucleotides) under Campeiostachys nutans. RNAcentral's name for it is "Elymus nutans partial small subunit ribosomal RNA". The stretch from base 35 to 213 matches the Rfam family "Eukaryotic small subunit ribosomal RNA", at positions 684 to 864 of the family's 1831-position model. The record is from RNAcentral. Lineage: Eukaryota; Viridiplantae; Streptophyta; Magnoliopsida; Poales; Poaceae.
GAACGCGUCUGGUCGUGCCUCUGGUACGUACUGGUAUUAUUGGUUUCUCCCUUCUGACGAACCAUGAUGUCAUUAAUUUGAUGUCGUGGAGAAUCAGGACUGUUACUUUGAAAAAAUUAGAGUGUUUAAAGCAGGCUCACGCUUGAAUACAUUAGCAUGGAAUAAUGAAAUAGGACGUUUGAUUCUAUUUUGUUGGUUUCUAGGAUCGACGUA